This 484-nucleotide ribosomal RNA is filed under the name uncultured bacterium. RNAcentral describes it as "partial 16S ribosomal RNA". It matches the Rfam family "Bacterial small subunit ribosomal RNA", at positions 30 to 507 of the family's 1533-position model. The record is from RNAcentral.
AGUGAACGCUGGCGGCAGGCCUAACACAUGCAAGUCGAGCGGCAGCGGGUCCUUCGGGAUGCCGGCGAGCGGCGGACGGGUGAGGAAUGCGUCGGAAUCUGCCUUUUUGUGGGGGAUAACGUAGGGAAACUUACGCUAAUACCGCAUACGACCUACGGGUGAAAGUGGGGGACCGCAAGGCCUCACGCAGAAAGAUGAGCCGACGUCGGAUUAGCUAGUUGGCGGGGUAAAGGCCCACCAAGGCGACGAUCCGUAGCUGGUCUGAGAGGAUGAUCAGCCACGCUGGAACUGAGACACGGUCCAGACUCCUACGGGAGGCAGCAGUGGGGAAUAUUGGACAAUGGGCGCAAGCCUGAUCCAGCCAUGCCGCGUGUGUGAAGGAGGCCUUCGGGUUGUAAAGCACUUUUGUCCGGAAAGAAAUCCUGUCGGCUAAUACCCGGCGGGGAUGACGGUACCGGAAGAAUAAGCACCGGCUAACUUCGUG